GAUGAACGCUGGCGGCGUGCCUAAUACAUGCAAGUCGAGCGAACGGACGAGAAGCUUGCUUCUCUGAUGUUAGCGGCGGACGGGUGAGUAACACGUGGAUAACCUACCUAUAAGACUGGGAUAACUUCGGGAAACCGGAGCUAAUACCGGAUAAUAUUUUGAACCGCAUGGUUCAAAAGUGAAAGACGGUCUUGCUGUCACUUAUAGAUGGAUCCGCGCUGCAUUAGCUAGUUGGUAAGGUAACGGCUUACCAAGGCAACGAUGCAUAGCCGACCUGAGAGGGUGAUCGGCCACACUGGAACUGAGACACGGUCCAGACUCCUACGGGAGGCAGCAGUAGGGAAUCUUCCGCAAUGGGCGAAAGCCUGACGGAGCAACGCCGCGUGAGUGAUGAAGGUCUUCGGAUCGUAAAACUCUGUUAUUAGGGAAGAACAUAUGUGUAAGUAACUGUGCACAUCUUGACGGUACCUAAUCAGAAAGCCACGGCUAACUACGUGCCAGCAGCCGCGGUAAUACGUAGGUGGCAAGCGUUAUCCGGAAUUAUUGGGCGUAAAGCGCGCGUAGGCGGUUUUUUAAGUCUGAUGUGAAAGCCCACGGCUCAUCCGUGGAGGGUCAUUGGAAACUGGAAAACUUGAGUGCAGAAGAGGAAAGUGGAAUUCCAUGUGUAGCGGUGAAAUGCGCAGAGAUAUGGAGGAACACCAGUGGCGAAGGCGACUUUCUGGUCUGUAACUGACGCUGAUGUGCGAAAGCGUGGGGAUCAAACAGGAUUAGAUACCCUGGUAGUCCACGCCGUAAACGAUGAGUGCUAAGUGUUAGGGGGUUUCCGCCCCUUAGUGCUGCAGCUAACGCAUUAAGCACUCCGCCUGGGGAGUACGACCGCAAGGUUGAAACUCAAAGGAAUUGACGGGGACCCGCACAAGCGGUGGAGCAUGUGGUUUAAUUCGAAGCAACGCGAAGAACCUUACCAAAUCUUGACAUCCUUUGACAACUCUAGAGAUAGAGCUUUCCCCUUCGGGGGACAAAGUGACAGGUGGUGCAUGGUUGUCGUCAGCUCGUGUCGUGAGAUGUUGGGUUAAGUCCCGCAACGAGCGCAACCCUUAAGCUUAGUUGCCAUCAUUAAGUUGGGCACUCUAAGUUGACUGCCGGUGACAAACCGGAGGAAGGUGGGGAUGACGUCAAAUCAUCAUGCCCCUUAUGAUUUGGGCUACACACGUGCUACAAUGGACAAUACAAAGGGCAGCGAAACCGCGAGGUCAAGCAAAUCCCAUAAAGUUGUUCUCAGUUCGGAUUGUAGUCUGCAACUCGACUACAUGAAGCUGGAAUCGCUAGUAAUCGUAGAUCAGCAUGCUACGGUGAAUACGUUCCCGGGUCU
This 1372-nucleotide ribosomal RNA is filed under the name uncultured bacterium. RNAcentral describes it as "bacterial SSU rRNA". It matches the Rfam family "Bacterial small subunit ribosomal RNA", at positions 28 to 1381 of the family's 1533-position model. The record is from RNAcentral.